AUGGCUCGAGACUUUGAUACAUACAUGAAGGGGUACCAGAGGUGCAAGCGCCCUUGGGAGUGUUCAGUUAAAGAUCUAGGCGUCAGGCAUAUCGAUUUCGAUGAAAAAAGCAUGAGGUUUUUUGAGGGCAAAUACACCAUGGGACCAAUCAUAUCUGACUGUCUCAUUGAGAAGUUCCUAAACAGAUCACAGUUUGAGUCCUAUUCUCUUUUGAGGAACUUUAGGCAUUCAAAUGUUGUGGCUGUCCAAAACUUCUAUGAUGUGUCAGGCUAUCCCAGGUUUGUAUUAUCUUGGGUGGACGGAAGCUUAACAGCAUGGAUGAAAAAGGAUGGCGCAGGCAUAAUGUUUAAAUCAAAUAUGAAGGGAAGCAUUCCAACAGGAGCACUAAGACAGACCCUCCUUGACCUCUGUAGCGGACUUGAGCAUUUACUGGCUGAGCAAUUGUACCCUGCUGAGAUUGAUUUAAAAGACAUGUACGUGCGCCAAGUGGGCCACAAGGGAAUUGUCCAAAUCCUCAUUAAUAAAGUUGAGAGAUUGUCAGGUCUUGAUGCAACAAAAAGGAAGGCAAAGUUAUGGGCUGGUCUGAGAAAAGCUCUUCAUGAGAUAUAUAAGGAGGCUCCACGCGCUGUUAACCCUGUUGCAUUGAGGUUCAUCAACUAUGUUGGAGUUACAGACAGCACCCGACUACAGAGGUUCCCUGACAAAUGGGACUACAACAUGAAGGCAAGGUACUUACUAUCAGUUAUGUCAGAAGAUAUUGCUGUGGUAAGACCUAAACUGCAUGUCCAAGGUGUGCCUAUAAUAAAUUGGCCAAAAACUCCCAAUGGCAACCGUCUUCGGGCACCAUUUCAAGAGGCGUUUGACCAUCAGGCCGCACGUGGAACAAUCUAUGACGUAGAAGAUCCCUAUGACUACAUAAGAUUGUGCAAGGAUGUUAUCAAACAUUGGAACGUCAUGCCAGCUUCUGUUAAGGGCGAGUGUUCCACCUGGGAGAAGUUCAUUGACAAGAUCGAGAAAUGGGAUCAGAUGAUUUGGUGCACUCUGUACGAGGCUACUGCAUGA
This 1062-nucleotide ribosomal RNA is filed under the name Triticum aestivum (bread wheat). RNAcentral's name for it is "partial small subunit ribosomal RNA". The record is from RNAcentral. Lineage: Eukaryota; Viridiplantae; Streptophyta; Magnoliopsida; Poales; Poaceae.